Molecule: ribosomal RNA, 373 nt
Filed under: uncultured organism
Description: partial 16S ribosomal RNA
Rfam family: Bacterial small subunit ribosomal RNA
Source: RNAcentral
GUAGGUGGCAAGCGUUGUCCGGAAUUAUUGGGCGUAAAGGGCUCGCAGGCGGUUUCUUAAGUCUGAUGUGAAAGCCCCCGGCUCAACCGGGGAGGGUCAUUGGAAACUGGGGAACUUGAGUGCAGAAGAGGAGAGUGGAAUUCCACGUGUAGCGGUGAAAUGCGUAGAGAUGUGGAGGAACACCAGUGGCGAAGGCGACUCUCUGGUCUGUAACUGACGCUGAGGAGCGAAAGCGUGGGGAGCGAACAGGGAUUAGAUACCCUGGUAGUCCACGCCGUAAACGAUGAGUGCUAAGUGUUAGGGGGUUUCCCGCCCCUUAGUGCUGCAGCUAACGCAUUAAGCACUCCGCCUGGGGAGUACGGUCGCAAGACUG